GUUUGUUUACUUAUGAACUUUUGGUGUGUGUGUUCUUGAACUUUGAGUUUCCAUUUGAGUUUAAUUUGAAGAUCAUUACCAUGUUCAUCCUAGUGGCUACAAGAUACAUUGAGGAUCUCUUAUGAGACUUAUGUGAUUGCUUAUGCUUUGUGCUUGCUUAUUCCAAAGGAUGGGAGACACUUGGAUCAUCUAUAUGAUCUCAAGAGAGGAACUCCUAGUGUGGCUUUUUCCCUCACCUCUUUU
RNAcentral lists this long non-coding RNA (243 nucleotides) under Lathyrus oleraceus (garden pea). RNAcentral describes it as "Pisum sativum (pea) long non-coding RNA (PSAT_LNC021437)". Lineage: Eukaryota; Viridiplantae; Streptophyta; Magnoliopsida; Fabales; Fabaceae. The record is from RNAcentral.